Gallus gallus (chicken) is the source of this 1713-nucleotide long non-coding RNA. NCBI's taxonomy places the organism in Eukaryota, Metazoa, Chordata, Aves, Galliformes, Phasianidae. The record is from Ensembl.
AGUAUCCUGGAUUACAAACAAGACGUCAAGCAGUGGAUCACACUCUCAAAGAUCAGGGAGGCUUCAAUUUCUGUAGCACACCGAGUGUGAAACACUUAAAAAGUAAGUAUCUGCCAUGUCUACAAGUAAUUCAAAGUAAACACCAAUGCGUUCCCAUUCAGGCAGACUUACGGCCUUGGCUUUAGGUCUUCCUUUGUUUCCUCUUUGUUUUCCAGGCACUUAUCUCCCGCUAAAGGCUUUAGAAGGCCUCACUCUUCAUGAACUGCAGUAAGCACCACUCUUCCCCAAUAGAGAUGAUUUUCAGGAAGUGCGUUGAAGUGUAUAAUCAGUUUCCCUACAUAUCUGCAGGGUUAAGCAAAUUUUAGAUGAGGAGGGGAGUGAAGUAACCUUUUAGAGAUGGAAGCUGCUACCACUCUCCACGUACUGCAAAUAUAUUCCCCUGGGGCGUAGGGUGGCACUGUUCUUAGCCAUGAGUGCCCACUGGCAGACUGAACCAGGUGCUAUCACCCCGAUUUCUUCAGCUUUCUCUCAUUUCAUUCAGCAGUUUUCAGUCGUAUUCACUUCUCAUCACCUAAAGGUGAAGGUAACAGCUAGACAAAAAGAGGGGACUGAUGAAAAGCCCAGCCCCACCAUGCCAAAGCUCAGAGAAGGCCAUAUGUAGCAGUUUAGUACUGGUUUGUAGGCACAUUGCUCCAUAAUUGUUAGUCCUCAUGUUGCCCACACAUCUGGUGUUCCUGUCAUCUGUCUUUUCCCUUUCCAUUCCAAGGACAGACAGACCUCAGUUGCUGAGUGUUGCCUCGGUGUAAAAUAACACGUGGUGCUUGUGGUGUGGGAAGGAAGCUGGCUGUGAGAGAUAAAAGUUGAGGUUAAAAGCAGACCUACUGUUAUGCUCCUGGGGUUUUGCUGCUCUUUGUAUAACCUUGGUGUGGCUGAGCGAUACAGAUCAGCACUACCUAUUCUGAUAAAAUCCAUCCACCAGAGGCAAGAAGCAGCCCUACCUCCACUUCUUUUUGGAGUUAUUGCUGCCCUGGCAUUCCAAAGGAUGGCUCAAAGGUUAGUUUUCCAUUACGUUUCCUAAAGACAGUGACCAAGUUUGAUUACGGCUCAGAGACUUAGAAAGGAAACUGAAGAAGAAAUAUAUCAGAGGAGCUGCAAGAAAGAAAAGCCUGCUGGGAAAUUCCAAGAUUGCCACAAAACAAAGAACAGUCACUGAGAAUGUUUGUGCAAAACCACCAUCUUCUCCUUCCUUCCCACAAGGACUACUGCAACUCACUUUGAAAGAGAAAGAUAGAUUCAGACAGCAGGAAGCAGUUCACCCAGCUGUCCUGCUCUGCAAAGCCCCACUGCUUUACUUCACCCAAACCAGUAGGCAGGCAGAAAUGCAAAAUCAUACCAUUUGCGACCUACAGAAACAAAGCUCAGUGUUUGCAUGGGUGGGGGAGAGAUAUAAUCAAGCUUGUCACCAAAUGGAACAAAUGCAGGGUAUAAAUGGUCUGGUUAUUUUAUCUUUCUCCUUUCCCCUCCAUGCAAGCCUCCUAUAAUUCUAAUUGUUUUUCUUUGUAAGAAAUGUAAAUUAUAAAAUAUAAAUGAAGCCCAUCUUAAUUGUGCAUAGUCACAGAGACUGAAACUAAUGGUUCUGAAAAAUGUUGCACCAAAAAUCAAUCCAAUUCUUCAGCAGAUAAUAAUAUUAAAAAUAUACAGGACAGGUAGCAC